UCAAACUAAGACCAGUGGCCUGAUAUUGCCAACCGUUAGCGAAGACAAGCUGUGAAAAAAGAAAUUGGAAGUGAUUAGCAGGCUUGGGGACAGGAACUACUGUGUAUAGGCAAAAGAAGUCUCCUUCAGAGACAGGAAUACCUGUCCUGAAGAUUUGCAGACCCUCUUCCACUCUUUACCACUUUUACUAAACCUGUCACAAGCUGGACACACUCAUCGAGACAGUCCCUGUAGUCGAGUCCUUGGCCCUUGUAACCAGCAAGAGCUGAAAAAAGAAUUACCAGAGAUAAACCUGCUGAGUCCUUUCAAUGUGUAAGAAUCUGUUUUUCUUGGAUUGUAUGUAGGGCAGUCAGCCUGAGAGGGUCCUCAGAAACCCACACUGAUAGUUUCCAAUACUCAGCAUCUCCUGUACCACGGAACUGCUGAAGGUGUAUCAGCCAAGAUACAACAAUUAAAAAAUUUCAGGAAUGGCCAAGGAACCAACAACUGAGCAUCAGGCACUGAAUAUCCUUUGGAAAGCACAUCCUUUUUAGUUCACAGGUGGUGUGAGGAAGAACAAUUGACUUGAAAAUUACAGCAGUUCUGCAAUUUCUUCAAAUUGACAUAAAUCAAGGAAUAACUACUUAGAAUAACCAACUCCUUACACUAGGACAUGAUCAGAACUAGAAAAUUAUAUUGAAGCUGGGAAGAUGAAGAGAUGUUUGGAUAUGCUGAGAUCACACUUUUCAGCUGUAAGCACAGGAGUGCACAUUUUAACAAUGGAGCAGAUGCUUCCAAUUAUCUGCAAUAAGGAGAAGGGACACUUGAAAAAUCUGGCUGGUAUUAGGUGGCUGUCAGAAGGCUCUUGGGUAAGAAGAAAAGGAUGCAAAGUUCAGCAAAAUAAUUUUACUUUCAUAACACAUUAAUUUUAAGGCUGCUCUACAAGUUGAAAAACUUGUGUGUAUUCUGAUGACUAAAAGCAAAACAAUCAAACUGGAAAUUUUAAUGUAGAGUGUUUUCCUAUUUUAAACCAUGACAAACUUUACUCAUGAAAUAUUUCCUUUGAUGUUCUAUAAUCUUAAUCAAUUUUAAAUAGAUUUACAUGUUUAACUGUGCUUACUGCUUGCUCAUGUAGUGCUUAUAAAUGAACUGAAAAUAAGAUUCCCAUAGAAAGAGACAACUUGUAAAAUACAGAACUGUACAACAUAAAAGAGAAGAAAUGUUACAACAUAGAAGAAAUAUAAAUGUAGCCUUUUUAUUCACUCAUUUGCAAUUACUGCAUGUCACAUCCUGGGGCAUGUUUUUGAUUUGUUAUGUAUUUAGCAGGGUGAUGUUCAGGAAGGCUGAACUGCCUGCCCAAACCAUGCAUGUGCUGACAGGCAAAUUCAUGUCUUGUCAUUUGUUCCUUGGUCUGUACUAACUCAGGCUGCCUGCGCUCUCUGCUGAAGGCAUGACUGUUUUUUUUCUCCUGAGCCUCAUGAAAAAGACAAGAACCAUGGACAAUCCUUCUCUCCAGUGUGUCAAGCCUGUGUUCCAGACACACCUUCACACUUCCCCUCCACUCUGAUAGCUGGGCUAUCACAAUCUUGUCCACAUGGCACACCAAUGAGUGAGGUGCUACCAGAAGACACAAUGGUAAUUGCAGACAUGCUUUGGGUAAGGGUGCCCUGAACGAACCAACAUCAAGCUCAGGAUCUCCCCACAUUCACUUGUGCAGCCGAGCGCUUUGACCACAUCAGCAGCAUGAGCCAAAUGAUCCAACAAUGAAACCACAGUUGUGAGUUUGUUCUCCUGGGCAAUCCCAAAUGUGUUUUUGUUUGUGAGUUCCAGCACUCUUCUUUCUUCUUUGAUUAUCUGGGGAACUGGGGGAAAGUCAAUAAAAUUUGUGGUUUUAGCUUUGUUUCUUUUAAAAUGCAUCCAUCUUGGCUGUAGAGAAAAAAUGUUAUUUCAACUUGCCCCCACAAAAAUUAUGAGAAAAACACAUAAUAGAUAAAUUUCAUCAUAUACCUUUUAAACUCAUUGACAAUUGAGAUAAUAUUUUGCUGGUAAAAUAAAUAAUACCUUUUUAAAAGGUCCUCUCUCACUCCACUGGUUUUAGAAGUGAUUGCUAAUUUAUAUGAAGGACUUGCACACAGCAGAGCUUAUCCACACUUCAGAUGCACCUAAAAAUCCUGGAGGAAAGUGCUCUUUUCUUGGCAGUUAGUGCAAAACCUCAAAAACAAAUAACUGAAAUUUAUUUGAAAAUCAUUAUUUUGGAUUAUAUGCACUCAGUACUCUGUUUAUGGCAACACAUAAUAAUCAGGUGUUUUAUCUAAAAUUUUGUCUACAUAAAGGAGUGUUGAAAUUGAUUUAAGGUAACACAUUCUUCAUUCAGCAAACUUCUUAAUGAUUACUUUGGUUCAGAUAAUUGUUCUUACUCUUGGUGUUCUGCUAAGUUCCCCAGAUGAUUUGACAUUGGCCUUUCCUGGAUAAUUUGUGGUGCUCUGAAGAAAGAGUGGAUAAUUAAUUCUACAUUGCAAUUAGAUGCCUCAUUUCAUUCUUCCUCAAGAACCACAGGAAGCUGCUCUACACUGAUAGUGAGUUAAAGAAAUUCUGAGCAGCUGGAUAUCACCUCUUCCUCUUUGAGCUACUCAUCUGAUCCACUUUGGGCAACCCAAGGAAAGGAUGCCUCGUCUAUGGACUAUACUUUGUACAUUCUACACUUGACAAGGCCGAAAAAUGCAUAAAGAAAAUAAUUUGUUGCUGUUGGCUACCAUGUAAUGGUUACACAGUUGAUCCUGAGAGCUCAUGAGGUCAGCUAAAAUGGAUGAUGGUUUUGAUUAAAAUGAAUUGCCCACUGUGAAAACUCCUCCCACUGCACCACAAUCAAGGAGAAAGUUUCCAAAAUAAACAGGCUUCAGACCAAAUGCUGCGAAAGGAGAAACCUUUUUCUGCUAUAGCUACAGCUUCUCUCUCACUCUAAAGGAACACUUAUAGGCUAACAUAACACAGUUGAAUAACUCCUUAUAUAAUCUGUUAUCUCGUUCUCUGAAUUCAUUUGCUAUUAUAACUUAAUGGGAAAUUUAAAGUGAUAAUUCAGGAGUGAAUUUUCUAAGGUUUUCAUUUUAGCAAUGCUAAUAGUGAAUUUGGUGCAUGUUCUUUGGAAUGUCCUCAAGGUACUGCUUUGCAAGAAUACAGUCUGCUCAUCUGUGUUGGAGCUAAAUUGUAACAUAAACCGGAAGUUGCCAGCAAGUGUAAAAGGCCAUAUUAAGGAUCAUGCCAUUACGUAAAGAAAAUCAUCAAUGGAUGGGUUCCCACCCUUUUUUAGGAGGAAAGAAGGAAGGGAGGAAGGAAAGGAGGGAGGGAGAAAGAAAGAGAGAAGGAGAGAAAGAGAGAGAGAGAGAAAGAGAGUGAGAAAGAGAGAA
Molecule: RNA transcript, 3383 nt
Organism: Hirundo rustica (Barn swallow)
Lineage: Eukaryota; Metazoa; Chordata; Aves; Passeriformes; Hirundinidae
Gene: HTR1B
Gene name: 5-hydroxytryptamine receptor 1B
Exons: 4
Source: RefSeq, a predicted model, not a curated record